This 253-nucleotide ribosomal RNA is filed under the name uncultured bacterium. Its description in RNAcentral is "partial 16S ribosomal RNA". It matches the Rfam family "Bacterial small subunit ribosomal RNA", at positions 524 to 776 of the family's 1533-position model. The record is from RNAcentral.
UACAGAGGCCUCGAGCGUUAGGCGGAAUCACUGGGCUUAAAGCGUGUGUAGGCGGACUUCUAAGUACCUUGUGAAAUCCCACAGCUUAACUGGGGAACUGCGUCUGAUACUGGCGGGCUUGAGGACAGGAGAGGAACGCGGAAUUCCAGGUGUAGCGGUGAAAUGCGUAGAUAUCUGGAGGAACACCGGUGGCGAAGGCGGCGUUCUGGACUGUUUCUGACACUGAAAAACGAAAGCCAGGGGAGCAAACGGG